Eupeodes corollae is the source of this 1465-nucleotide long non-coding RNA. RefSeq lists it as uncharacterized. NCBI's taxonomy places the organism in Eukaryota, Metazoa, Arthropoda, Insecta, Diptera, Syrphidae. The record is from RefSeq and is a predicted model, not a curated record. The transcript is spliced from 2 exons.
AUAUAAACUGUGGUAUAUAAUUUCUUUAUUAAAAUAUAACUCUUAUUUAAAGACUACAAAUCUAAUUCGACUGGCUUGGGCGCGUCCGUUGAAUAGAAUAGACGUUAGAAUACAAAUUUUUAUGAGAGCGAGCCAAACAACCUUUUGUCUCGCUUCUAUGUCUCAGGUUUCAGAGUUUCGCGCUCAGCGUGCGACAUCUAGCUACGAAACUCUGAAACCUAAACAUAAGGGGAAUUACACAUUAUUAAUGAUAGUUGCCUUAAUUUUAUACUACAACUCGGCCAAUCUGACAAUUUGAUCGCCCACGAUUAAAUUAAACAAACAAGUCUUAAGUUAUAAUCAUGAGAUGGUAGGUGUCGCCCUUAAUCAACCGAACCUUCAGAGUCUCGAUUCUUCCAAAGUCGAAUAUUUCGAGACUCGACAAUGCCAUCAUAUGGCAGCUGUGUGAUUUGACAACCUUCGAUAUCGCGUAUUACGUAUCUAUCAUUAGGUAGAAUUUUGUAAACAACGUAUGGGCCUCUGAACUUUGGAACCAAUUUCUUAUUUACACCGGUUGUUGUAUCUACAUUUUUUAUUACUACAUAAUCACCCUCAUCGUAUAUACGUGCCGGGUUAUUAUGCUCAUUAAAAUAUUUAAUAUUAUAUUCCUGAAUCUUAGUGAUUGCUUCUGAAGCCUUUUCUCUUGACAAUUCAAGAUUUCUUUCCAGUUGACUUAAUUGUUUAUCAUCAAGAAAUUCUGUUAAUUUGUCGAUUACUACUCCCCUUUGGUUAAUACCAAAUAACAAUUGACUUGGUGUAUUUUGAAUAGCGCGAUGUAUAGUGUUAUUUAGUCCGAAUUCUAUUUGUGUUAAAGUAACAACCCAAUCUGAGUGCUCGAUUGGUUCCGAAAGCUUAGCAAGCAUGCCAGUUAAUACCCUAUUGACUCGCUCUACUUGACCAUUGGCCUGUGGCGAAUGAACUGCCACCUUAACAUGAUCUAUAUUCUGGUCUAUAACAAAUGAACUAAACUCUAGUGAUGUAAAGCAGGUUCCCCUAUCAGUAAUUACUCUUGAUGGCCUACUGUAAUACUCAAAAUAUUUUCUUAGUGCUGCACAUACUUCUUUUGAGCUUGUAGAUACAACUGGGGAGAGGACCAAGAUGAUCCAAGUGUAUUGUAUGGAAUGGAAUGGGCUCCUUAGGAAUAUUGAACAAAUUGCGUAUAUUAGAUCGAACUGGUGCUGAGUGCAUUAUGCAACGGAUACAAUUUUUAAUGUAUUUUUCAACUUUUUCCUGAACAUUCGGAAACCAAUAGUGACGGCCAAUUUGAUCAGAGCUUUUUGUUACACCUAAAUGCCCAAUUUUCUCAUGGAUCAUUCUUAUAACAUUAGUUUCCAUUUCAGAUGGGACAUAGAAUCGAAGUUUACCAUUUUUAUUUUUUUUGAAGACAAUACCAUCCUGAACUAAAAACGAAUUAUUAUCUUUUAAA